GACGAACGCUGGCGGCGUGCUUAACACAUGCAAGUCGAGCGGAAAGGCCCUGCUUUUGUGGGGUGCUCGAUAGGCGAACGGGUGAGUAACACGUGAGUAACCUGCCCUUGUCUUUGUGAUAACUUCAGGAAACUGGGGCGAAUACCGGAGAGGAUCUCUUGCUGCAUGUGGGGGAUUGGAAAAUUUCGGCGGUGGGGUAUGGACUCGCGGCUUAUCAGCUUGUUGGGGGGGUAGGGGCUUACCAAGGCUUUGACGGGUAGCCGGCCUGAGAGGGUGACCGGCGACCUUGGGACUGAGGUACGGCCCAGAAUCCUACGGGAGGCAGUAGUGGGGAAUAUUGCACAAUGGGCGGAAGCCUGAUGCAGAAACCCCGCGUGCGGGAUGACGGCUUUCGGGUUGUAAACCGCUUUCGAAUGUGACGAAGCGUGAGUGACGGUAAUGGGUAAAGAAGCACCGGCUAACUACGUG
Molecule: ribosomal RNA, 468 nt
Filed under: uncultured bacterium
Lineage: Bacteria
Description: partial 16S ribosomal RNA
Rfam family: Bacterial small subunit ribosomal RNA
Source: RNAcentral